GGGAGAGCCUGGUCUGCGGCGUGGGGAAUAGGGAGGGUGAAAGCGUUACUCGGAAACGCUGGGCGUAAAGAGUGUGUAGGCGAGUAUAGAAGUCAGAAGGGAAAUCCUAUAGCUUAACUAUAGAAGUGCUUUUGAAACUGUAUACCUAGAAUGUGGGAGAGGUAGAUGGAAUUUCUGGUGUAGGGGUAAAAUCCGUAGAGAUCAGAAGGAAUACCGAUUGCGAAGGCGAUCUACUGGAACAUUAUUGACGCUGAGACGCGAAAGCGUGGGGAGCAAACAGGAUUAGAUACCCGGGUAGUC
RNAcentral lists this ribosomal RNA (300 nucleotides) under uncultured Streptococcus sp. Its description in RNAcentral is "bacterial SSU rRNA". It matches the Rfam family "Bacterial small subunit ribosomal RNA", at positions 496 to 795 of the family's 1533-position model. Lineage: Bacteria; Bacillati; Bacillota; Bacilli; Lactobacillales; Streptococcaceae. The record is from RNAcentral.